CAAGUCGAGCGAGAAGACGUAGCAAUACGUUUGUAAAGCGGCGAACGGGUGAGGAAUACAUGGGUAACCUACCCUCGAGUGGGGAAUAACUAGCCGAAAGGUUAGCUAAUACCGCGUACGCUUCUUGGACUUCGGUUCAGGGAGGAAAGCGAUACCGUGGGUAUCGCGCUCUUGGAUGGGCUCAUGUCCUAUCAGCUUGUUGGUGAGGUAAUGGCUCACCAAGGCUUCGACGGGUAGCUGGUCUGAGAGGACGAUCAGCCACACUGGCACUGCGACACGGGCCAGACUCCUACGGGAGGCAGCAGUAAGGAAUAUUGCGCAAUGGGCGAAAGCCUGACGCAGCGACGCCGCGUGGGGGAUGAAGGUCUUCGGAUUGUAAACCCCUUUCGGGAGGGAAGAUGGAAUGGGGUAACCCAUUCGGACGGUACCUCCAGAAGCAGCCACGGCUAACUUCGUGCCAGCAGCCGCGGUAAUACGAAGGUGGCAAGCGUUGUUCGGAUUUACUGGGCGUACAGGGAGCGUAGGCGGUUCGGUAAGCCCUCUGUGAAAUCUCCAGGCUUAACCUGGAACAGUCGGAGGGGACUGCCGGGCUAGAGGACGGGAGAGGAGCGCGGAAUUCCCGGUGUAGCGGUGAAAUGCGUAGAGAUCGGGAGGAAGGCCGGUGGCGAAGGCGGCGCUCUGGAACGUUUCUGACGCUGAGGCUCGAAAGCGUGGGGAGCAAACAGGAUUAGAUACCCUGGUAGUCCACGCCUUAAACUAUGAAUACUAAGUGUCGGCAGGUUACCGCCGGUGCCGCAGCUAACGCAUUAAGUAUUCCGCCUGGGAAGUACGGCCGCAAGGUUGAAACUCAAGGAAUUGACGGGGCCCGCACAA
Molecule: ribosomal RNA, 873 nt
Filed under: uncultured Nitrospira sp.
Lineage: Bacteria; Pseudomonadati; Nitrospirota; Nitrospiria; Nitrospirales; Nitrospiraceae
Description: bacterial SSU rRNA
Rfam family: Bacterial small subunit ribosomal RNA
Source: RNAcentral